Molecule: ribosomal RNA, 396 nt
Filed under: Triticum aestivum (bread wheat)
Lineage: Eukaryota; Viridiplantae; Streptophyta; Magnoliopsida; Poales; Poaceae
Description: partial small subunit ribosomal RNA
Source: RNAcentral
AUGUCGUGGCUCUCGCACCCCUCGGGCAGGCCCAGCGCGGGCCCCGGAAACUCGAGCUCGGCGAAGUCGACGGCGAGCCCGGCGCGGCCGGCGUGCUCUAGGACGGCCCUGCUGCGCGCGGCGUGGACGGGGGUCAGGACGACGGUGACGCGCGCGCCGCAGCGGCCGGCGAUGAGGCGCGCCAUGUCCAUCAUGGGGAUGACGUGGCCCUGCGCGAGGAGCGGCACCAGCACGAAGUGGAGCUUGAGCGGCAGUGCCGCUGCCGCCAUGGCCGGGCCGUCCGUACGGCAAGACAUGGCGAGCAGCUGCAAAGAUGGAUGCUGCUACAAUCCACUCAGGUGGCGCUCCACCGGUUGCAUAUGUGCACGAGGUUGGUCAGGGAGACGCCGCGGGUAA